UGCCAGCCGCCGCGGUAACACGGGGGGCGCAAGCGUUAUUCGGAAUUAUUGGGCGUAAAGGGCGCGCAGGCGGUCUUGUCCGUCAGGUGUGAAAGUUCGGGGCUCAACCCCGGAAGUGCACUUGGAACAGCAAGACUUGAAUACGGUAGAGGAGAGAGGAAUUCCUGGUGUAGGGGUGAAAUUCGUAGAUAUCAGGAGGAACACCAAACGCGAAGGCAUUCUGCUGGUCAUUACCUGACGCUGAGGGACGAAAGCGUGGGGAGCGAACGGGAUUAGAUA
Molecule: ribosomal RNA, 279 nt
Filed under: uncultured bacterium
Lineage: Bacteria
Description: partial 16S ribosomal RNA
Rfam family: Bacterial small subunit ribosomal RNA
Source: RNAcentral